RNAcentral lists this long non-coding RNA (299 nucleotides) under Homo sapiens (human). Its description in RNAcentral is "HSALNT0335596". The record is from RNAcentral. Lineage: Eukaryota; Metazoa; Chordata; Mammalia; Primates; Hominidae.
GCAGUCUCUGCUCACUGCAACCUCUGCCUCCCAGGUUCAAGUGAUUCUCCUGCCUCAGCCUCCCGAGUAGCUGGGAUUACAGGCACCUGCCACCAUGCCUGGCUAAUUUUUUGUAUUUUUAGUAGAGACAGGGGUUUCACCAUGUUGGCCAGGCUGGUCUCGAACUCCUGACCUCAUGUGAUCUGCCCACCUUGGCCUCCCAAAGUGCCAGGAUUACAGGCGUGAGCCACCAUGCCUGGCCCUCUUAGACUUUCUAUUGGAAAGCAAUCAACUUUAUAUUGCCCAGUUAAUGACAUGUG